This 815-nucleotide ribosomal RNA is filed under the name uncultured bacterium. RNAcentral describes it as "bacterial SSU rRNA". It matches the Rfam family "Bacterial small subunit ribosomal RNA", at positions 60 to 888 of the family's 1533-position model. The record is from RNAcentral.
AGUCGAACGAGAGAUGAAGAGCUUGCUCUUCAAAUCGAGUGGCGAACGGGUGAGUAACGCGUGAGGAACCUGCCUCAAAGAGGGGGACAACAGUUGGAAACGACUGCUAAUACCGCAUAAGCCCACGGCUCGGCAUCGAGCAGGGGGAAAAGGAGCAAUCCGCUUUGAGAUGGCCUCGCGUCCGAUUAGCUAGUUGGUGAGGUAACGGCCCACCAAGGCGACGAUCGGUAGCCGGACUGAGAGGUUGAACGGCCACAUUGGGACUGAGACACGGCCCAGACUCCUACGGGAGGCAGCAGUGGGGAAUAUUGCACAAUGGGGGAAACCCUGGUGCAGCGACGCCGCGUGGAGGAAGAAGGUCUUCGGAUUGUAAACUCCUGUUGUUGAGGAAGAUAAUGACGGUACUCAACAAGGAAGUGACGGCUAACUACGUGCCAGCAGCCGCGGUAACACGUAGGUCACAAGCGUUGUCCGGAAUUACUGGGUGUAAAGGGAGCGCAGGCGGGAGAACAAGUUGGAAGUGAAAUCCAUGGGCUCAACCCAUGAACUGCUUUCAAAACUGUUUUUCUUGAGUAGUGCAGAGGUAGGCGGAAUUCCCGGUGUAGCGGUGGAAUGCGUAGAUAUCGGGAGGAACACCAGUGGCGAAGGCGGCCUACUGGGCACCAACUGACGCUGAGGCUCGAAAGUGUGGGUAGCAAACAGGAUUAGAUACCCUGGUAGUCCACACCGUAAACGAUGAUUACUAGGUGUUGGAGGAUUGACCCCUUCAGUGCCGCAGUUAACACAAUAAGUAAUCCACCUGGGGAGUACGACCG